AUUGAACGCUGGCGGCAGGCCUAACACAUGCAAGUCGAGCGAGCGGCGGACGGGUGAGUAAUGUAUGGGGACUGCCCGAUAGAGGGGGAUAACUACUGGAAACGGUGGCUAAUACCGCAUACUGUCGGAUAACCCAUAUGGGAUUAGCUAGUUGGUGAGGGAAUGGCUUACCUAGGCGACGAUCCCUAGCGGGUCUGGGAGGAUGAUCAGCCACACUGGGACGGAGACACGGCCCAGACGCCUACGGGGGCAGCAGUGGGGAAGUUUGAACAAUGGGCGCAAGCCGGAUGCAGCAAUGCCGCGUGUGUGAAGAAGGCCUUCGGAUUGUAAAGUACUUUAAGUCGGGAGGCGUUACCAACAGAAGUAGCACCGGCUAACUCCGUGCCAGCCGCCGCGGUAAUAC
Molecule: ribosomal RNA, 403 nt
Filed under: uncultured bacterium
Lineage: Bacteria
Description: partial 16S ribosomal RNA
Rfam family: Bacterial small subunit ribosomal RNA
Source: RNAcentral